RNAcentral lists this ribosomal RNA (657 nucleotides) under uncultured bacterium. RNAcentral describes it as "bacterial SSU rRNA". It matches the Rfam family "Bacterial small subunit ribosomal RNA", at positions 213 to 870 of the family's 1533-position model. The record is from RNAcentral.
CAUCACUACGAGAUGGACCUGCGUGUUAUUAGCUAGUAGGUAGGGUAACGGCCUACCUAGGCGACGAUACAUAGCCGACCUGAGAGGGUGGUCCCCCACAUUGGAACUGAGACACGGCCCAAACUCCUACGGGAGGCAGCAGUGAGGAAUAUUGGUCAAUGGGCGGAAGCCUGAACCAGCCAAGUAGCGUGCAGGAUGACGGCCCUAUGGGUUGUAAACUGCUUUUACAGGGGAAUAAAGUGAGUGACGUGUCAUUCAUUGCAUGUACCCUGCGAAUAAGGACCGGCUAAUUCCGUGCCAGCAGCCGCGGUAAUACGGAAGGUCCGGGCGUUAUCCGGAUUUAUUGGGUUUAAAGGGAGCGUAGGCCGCCCGUCAAGCGUGUUGUGAAAUGUAGAGGCUCAACCUCUGAAUUGCAGCGCGAACUGUCAGGCUUGAGUACGCGCAACGUAGGCGGAAUUCGUGGUGUAGCGGUGAAAUGCUUAGAUAUCACGAAGAACUCCGAUUGCGAAGGCAGCUUACGGGAGCGUUACUGACGCUGAAGCUCGAAAGUGCGGGUAUCGAACAGGAUUAGAUACCCUGGUAGUCCGCACGGUAAACGAUGGAUGCCCGCUGUUGCCCCACCUGGAGCAGCGGCCAAGCGAAAGCAUAAGCCAUCCC